This 565-nucleotide ribosomal RNA is filed under the name uncultured Actinomycetes bacterium. RNAcentral's name for it is "bacterial SSU rRNA". It matches the Rfam family "Bacterial small subunit ribosomal RNA", at positions 338 to 916 of the family's 1533-position model. Lineage: Bacteria; Bacillati; Actinomycetota; Actinomycetes. The record is from RNAcentral.
CCUACGGGAGGCAGCAGCAGGGAAUAUUGCACAAUGGGCGAAAGCCUGAUGCAGCGACACCGCGUGCGGGAUGACGGCCUUAGGGUUGUAAACCGCUUUCAGGAGGGAAGAAAUUGACGGUACCUCCAGAAGAAGCUCCGGCCAACUACGUGCCAGCAGCCGCGGUAAUACGUAGGGAGCAAACGUUGUCCGGAUUUAUUGGGCGUAAAGGGCUCGUAGGCGGUUCAACAAGUCGAUCGUGAAAGCCCGGGGCUCAACCCCGGGAUGCCGGUCGAAACUGUUGUGACUAGAGUUCGGUAGAGGUGAGUGGAAUUCUCGGUGUAGCGGUGGAAUGCGCAGAUAUCGAGAGGAACACCAUUAGCGAAGGCGGCUCACUGGGCCGAUACUGACGCUGAGGAGCGAAAGCGUGGGGAGCAAACAGGAUUAGAAACCCUGGUAGUCCACGCCGUAAACGAUGAACACUAGGUGUAGCGGACUGAUUCACGUCUGCUGUGCCGUAGCUAACGCAUUAAGUGUUCCGCCUGGGGAGUACGGCCGCAAGGCUAAAACUCAAAGGAAUUGACGG